UUUUAUUAAAUAGUUUAAAAUAUUGUAAUUUUAUAAUAUAAUGAUAGUUUAUAAACAAGUUUAAAAUUUUAUUUAUAUUUAAUUUUAUUAGUAAAAUAUAGUAUUAUUAGUUAAUCGUAGAUAAAAGGCUUAAAUACCUAUUUAGUCCCCAAGUUUGGGGCUGAAUUUCCGUUUCAUACCCGGUCUUAAAAGUGAUUUAAUUAUGUCCUCAAGUUUUUUAUUUUGCUUGCAAUCGGUCCCUUCCGUUAACUAAGAUGUAACGAUGUUAAUUUUUCUUCUCUCUCCUCUGUUGUUUCUCUUCUUUUUCCAUUACAACAUGAUUAUAACUACCUCUCUCUCUCACCUUUUUUCUCUCUCAUUAUUUAUUUCUUCUCUCUCCCGUGCCAACACAACAAAAUGAUAAGGUCUCUUUCAAAAGGUUUCUAUGACCUCCCCCUCACCCA
RNAcentral lists this long non-coding RNA (443 nucleotides) under Vigna radiata. RNAcentral's name for it is "long non-coding RNA (VRAD_LNC003863)". The record is from RNAcentral. Lineage: Eukaryota; Viridiplantae; Streptophyta; Magnoliopsida; Fabales; Fabaceae.